CAGCAGCCGCGGUAAUACCGGCGGCCCGAGUGGCGGUCACUAUUAUUGGGCUUAAAGCGUCCGUAGCCGGGUUGGGAAGGCCUCCGGGAAAUCUGGCCGCUUAACGGUCAGAAUGCCGGAGGAUACUCCCAGCCUAGGGAGCGGGAGAGGCCGAGGGUAUUCCCGGAGUAGGGGUGAAAUCCUAUAAUCCCGGGAGGACCACCUGUGGCGAAGGCGCUCGGCUGGAACGCGUCCGACGGUGAGGGACGAAGGCCAGGGGAGCAAACCGGAUUAGAUACCCGGGUAGUCCUGGCUGUAAACGAUGCGGACUUUGUGUCGGACAAGCUAUGAGCUUGUCCGGUGCCGGAGGGAAACCGUUAAGUCCGCCGCCUGGGGAGUACGGCCGCAAGGCUGAAACUUAAAGGAAUUGGCGGG
This 414-nucleotide ribosomal RNA is filed under the name uncultured microorganism. RNAcentral's name for it is "bacterial SSU rRNA". It matches the Rfam family "Archaeal small subunit ribosomal RNA", at positions 459 to 872 of the family's 1478-position model. The record is from RNAcentral.